This 301-nucleotide ribosomal RNA is filed under the name uncultured bacterium. RNAcentral describes it as "partial 16S ribosomal RNA". It matches the Rfam family "Bacterial small subunit ribosomal RNA", at positions 509 to 807 of the family's 1533-position model. The record is from RNAcentral.
CAGCAGCCGCGGUAAUACGUAGGGUGCGAGCGUUGUCCGGAAUUAUUGGGCGUAAAGAGCUUGUAGGCGGUCUGUCGCGUCUGCUGUGAAAACCCGAGGCUCAACCUCGGGCCUGCAGUGGGUACGGGCAGACUAGAGUGCGGUAGGGGAGAACGGAACUCCUGGUGUAGCGGUGGAAUGCGCAGAUAUCAGGAAGAACACCGGUGGCGAAGGCAGUUCUCUGGGCCGUAACUGACGCUGAGAAGCGAAAGCGUGGGGAGCGAACAGGAUUAGAUACCCCGGUAGUCCCUGUCUCUUAUAC